UAUUCCAGGUUGCGAUUUUCU
This 21-nucleotide non-coding RNA is filed under the name Arabidopsis thaliana (thale cress). The record is from RNAcentral. Lineage: Eukaryota; Viridiplantae; Streptophyta; Magnoliopsida; Brassicales; Brassicaceae.